RNAcentral lists this ribosomal RNA (427 nucleotides) under uncultured bacterium. Its description in RNAcentral is "bacterial SSU rRNA". It matches the Rfam family "Bacterial small subunit ribosomal RNA", at positions 355 to 774 of the family's 1533-position model. The record is from RNAcentral.
UGAGGAAUAUUGGACAAUGGGCGCAAGCCUGAUCCAGCAAUGCCGCGUGCAGGAUGAAGGCUUUCGGGUUGUAAACUGCUUUUGUACGGAGCGAAAAGGUCUGCCCUAAUACGGUGGGCUCAUGACGGUACCGUAAGAAUAAGCACCGGCUAACUACGUGCCAGCAGCCGCGGUAAUACGUAGGGUGCGAGCGUUAAUCGGAAUUACUGGGCGUAAAGCGUGCGCAGGCGGUUAUAUAAGACAGAUGUGAAAUCCCCGGGCUCAACCUGGGACCUGCAUUUGUGACUGCAUAGCUAGAGUACGGUAGAGGGGGAUGGAAUUCCGCGUGUAGCAGUGAAAUGCGUAGAUAUGCGGAGGAACACCGAUGGCGAAGGCAAUCCCCUGGACCUGUACUGACGCUCAUGCACGAAAGCGUGGGGAGCAAACA